AGACAAAUAAGGCAUUGUAAACCCCAGCCUGAAGCAAGACCAAAUAGAAAUCCUGUUAAGCUGCUCGCUUAGGAUUUGGGUAGGUUGCUAGAAUAUUAUGGCAACAUAAUAUCAAGAUAGAUGAUCAUCAUUCACAGAAUCCGGCUUAUAGACCAACUCACUUU
RNAcentral lists this RNase P RNA (164 nucleotides) under Gammaproteobacteria bacterium. RNAcentral's name for it is "partial RNase P RNA component class A". It matches the Rfam family "Bacterial RNase P class A", at positions 190 to 367 of the family's 367-position model. From Rfam's summary of the family: Ribonuclease P (RNase P) is a ubiquitous endoribonuclease, found in archaea, bacteria and eukarya as well as chloroplasts and mitochondria. Its best characterised activity is the generation of mature 5'-ends of tRNAs by cleaving the 5'-leader elements of precursor-tRNAs. The record is from RNAcentral. Lineage: Bacteria; Pseudomonadati; Pseudomonadota; Gammaproteobacteria.